Long non-coding RNA from Calypte anna (Anna's hummingbird), 192 nucleotides. RefSeq lists it as uncharacterized. The record is from RefSeq and is a predicted model, not a curated record. The transcript has 3 exons. NCBI's taxonomy places the organism in Eukaryota, Metazoa, Chordata, Aves, Apodiformes, Trochilidae.
CUUCCCAUCUUUUGACUGGGGCGGUACACCUGUCAAAGCGUAACGCAGGUGUCCUAAGGCUAGCUCAGGGAGGACGGAAACCUCCCGUGGAGCAGAAGGGCAAAAGCUCGCUUGAUCUUGAUUUUCAGUACGAAUACAGACCGUGAAAGCGGGGCCUCACGAUCCUUCUGGCUUUUUGGGUUUUAAGCAGGA